CUGCAUUAUUUUAAACAUAGGGUACCACAUACCCUGGCUGCAUUAUUUUUUGCCGACAUAGGGUACGACAUCCCCUAGUUCUAUUUCAGAGUGCCACGAGCCUAGUUUUAUUGCACACACAGGGUACUAUAUCCCCUGGCUGCAUUAUUUUCAACAUAUGGUACGACAUCCCCUAGUUCUAUUUCAGAGUUCCACGAGCCACAUAUUAUUGCAA
Molecule: long non-coding RNA, 214 nt
Filed under: Nicotiana benthamiana
Lineage: Eukaryota; Viridiplantae; Streptophyta; Magnoliopsida; Solanales; Solanaceae
Description: long non-coding RNA (NBEN_LNC026586)
Source: RNAcentral